Molecule: RNase P RNA, 386 nt
Filed under: Klebsiella pneumoniae
Lineage: Bacteria; Pseudomonadati; Pseudomonadota; Gammaproteobacteria; Enterobacterales; Enterobacteriaceae
Description: RNase P RNA component class A
Rfam family: Bacterial RNase P class A
About the family: Ribonuclease P (RNase P) is a ubiquitous endoribonuclease, found in archaea, bacteria and eukarya as well as chloroplasts and mitochondria. Its best characterised activity is the generation of mature 5'-ends of tRNAs by cleaving the 5'-leader elements of precursor-tRNAs.
Source: RNAcentral
GAAGCUGACCAGACAGUCGCCGCUUCGUCGUCGUCCUCCUUCGGGGGGGAGACGGGCGGAGGGGAGGAAAGUCCGGGCUCCAUAGGGCAAGGUGCCGAGGUAACGCCUCGGGGGGUGUCACAGCCCACGACCAGUGCAACAGAGAGCAAACCGCCGAUGGCCCGCGCAAGCGGGAUCAGGUAAGGGUGAAAGGGUGCGGUAAGAGCGCACCGCGCGGCUGGUAACAGUCCGCGGCACGGUAAACUCCACCCGGAGCAAGGCCAAAUAGGGGUUCAUAAGGUACGGCCCGUACUGAACCCGGGUAGGCUGCUUGAGCCAGUGAGCGAUUGCUGGCCUAGAUGAAUGACUGUCCACGACAGAACCCGGCUUAUCGGUCAGUUUCACCU